RNAcentral lists this ribosomal RNA (1372 nucleotides) under uncultured bacterium. Its description in RNAcentral is "bacterial SSU rRNA". It matches the Rfam family "Bacterial small subunit ribosomal RNA", at positions 28 to 1381 of the family's 1533-position model. The record is from RNAcentral.
GAUGAACGCUGGCGGCGUGCCUAAUACAUGCAAGUCGAGCGAACGGACGAGAAGCUUGCUUCUCUGAUGUUAGCGGCGGACGGGUGAGUAACACGUGGAUAACCUACCUAUAAGACUGGGAUAACUUCGGGAAACCGGAGCUAAUACCGGAUAAUAUUUUGAACCGCAUGGUUCAAAAGUGAAAGACGGUCUUGCUGUCACCUAUAGAUGGAUCCGCGCUGCAUUAGCUAGUUGGUAAGGUAACGGCUUACCAAGGCAACGAUGCAUAGCCGACCUGAGAGGGUGAUCGGCCACACUGGAACUGAGACACGGUCCAGACUCCUACGGGAGGCAGCAGUAGGGAAUCUUCCGCAAUGGGCGAAAGCCUGACGGAGCAACGCCGCGUGGGUGAUGAAGGUCUUCGGAUCGUAAAACUCUGUUAUUAGGGAAGAACAUAUGUGUAAGUAACUGUGCACAUCUUGACGGUACCUAAUCAGAAAGCCACGGCUAACUACGUGCCAGCAGCCGCGGUAAUACGUAGGUGGCAAGCGUUAUCCGGAAUUAUUGGGCGUAAAGCGCGCGUAGGCGGUUUUUUAAGUCUGAUGUGAAAGCCCACGGCUCUACCGUGGAGGGUCAUUGGAAACUGGAAAACUUGAGUGCAGAAGAGGAAAGUGGAAUUCCAUGUGUAGCGGUGAAAUGCGCAGAGAUAUGGAGGAACACCAGUGGCGAAGGCGACUUUCUGGUCUGUAACUGACGCUGAUGUGCGAAAGCGUGGGGAUCAAACAGGAUUAGAUACCCUGGUAGUCCACGCCGUAAACGAUGAGUGCUAAGUGUUAGGGGGUUUCCGCCCCUUAGUGCUGCAGCUAACGCAUUAAGCACUCCGCCUGGGGAGUACGACCGCAAGGUUGAAACUCAAAGGAAUUGACGGGGACCCGCACAAGCGGUGGAGCAUGUGGUUUAAUUCGAAGCAACGCGAAGAACCUUACCAAAUCUUGACAUCCUUUGACAACUCUAGAGAUAGAGCUUUCCCCUUCGGGGGACAAAGUGACAGGUGGUGCAUGGUUGUCGUCAGCUCGUGUCGUGAGAUGUUGGGUUAAGUCCCGCAACGAGCGCAACCCUUAAGCUUAGUUGCCAUCAUUAAGUUGGGCACUCUAAGUUGACUGCCGGUGACAAACCGGAGGAAGGUGGGGAUGACGUCAAAUCAUCAUGCCCCUUAUGAUUUGGGCUACACACGUGCUACAAUGGACAAUACAAAGGGCAGCGAAACCGCGAGGUCAAGCAAAUCCCAUAAAGUUGUUCUCAGUUCGGAUUGUAGUCUGCAACUCGACUACAUGAAGCUGGAAUCGCUAGUAAUCGUAGAUCAGCAUGCUACGGUGAAUACGUUCCCGGGUCU